GUAGCGAUACUGAAAAAAAAUUAACAUUUUCAAUUAAAAAAUGUGUCAAAAAAUAAGAUUCCUUUGUUGCAAAAGCAAUUGAAGACUUGCCAGAGGCUCAAAUAAUUACGGUUUAAGAAUGUUUCUCAGCCGUAAAAAAAGGAGGAAAAUAGGGUCGCCGAUACAUCUCUGACUAGAUAUACAAGUGCAUACUUAUAUUAUAUGAACAUCUAUGCCUGAAAGAUAUUCUGCCCCUUCCAAUUCAACCAAAGUUAUUGAAUUACAUCAGCUUUCCCCGUGGUUUUGGAUUUAAAGGAGGCACUAUUCAAAAUUCUGAAGAGUAAAGCAGCAUUCAUGAGAGCACUAUUAAUAGAUGAAAUUAAAUUAUCUGAAGGGAUUUCAUUCAAUACCAAAAAUAUACAAAUUAUUGGAUUCACUGAUUAAGAGAAGAAUAUUCCUACCGAGGGCGAAUGAAUUAGACGACUAUGGCCUUGUUUUUAUGUUCCAAUCUUUUCAAGGCAAAUGGAUUCAGACACUCGGGUGUUUGUUGUGCGUCCGGAGCAAUAUUAUACAAAUUGAUAAUAGAAUGCGUUGCUUUAUUAGAAAACGCAGGAUUUUAUGCUAAUGUUGUAGUCACAGAUGGUAUCAUGGAAUUGUACAAUGUGGAAGAAAUUUGGCAUGGAUGAACAUAUGUGUUCUUGCAAAAAUCCUGUAGAUAAUACUAGGCAGUUAUGGUUUGUAUCAGACUUUCCUCGUCUCAUCAAAUGUUUCCGCAAUCGUGUUGUUCAGCUAAAGAUCAUGACGUUAAGAAUUGAAGACAACUCGUUAUUAAAAAUACACACCAGAUGGAGUCAUUCAUACAGCGCAUUGGGAUGCUGUUAUUGAAAAGGACAAUUUCAAAUCUUAUACGUUGAAAGUUUGCCACAUGCACAUGUGCAUCCUAAACCAUACCAAAAAAUAAAUGUUGUAAUGGCUUUUCAGUUUUUCAGCCAUUCAGUUGCAACUAGAAUGCGUAUCUAUAAAAGUCAAGUUUCUAAUUUACAAGAUUGUGAAGGCAAUCGCAUAGAACGCAUGAAUGUGCUAAUCGACGUGAUGAAUGCAAGGUUAUCUGUUAUGCGAAACGGCACUAUCCAAAGGCAGAUACUAGAAGAUUUUCUUAAAUACCUUCACGAUUGGGAGGUCGCCAUACGGAAUAAUAACGCAUUUUUUAUAACACCAGAAACUAAUGGUGAUUUAAAAGUGACCUUAAUUUCUGCAUUACAACUACAUACGUUUCUGACAGAAAACUGUGGUUAUGAAUACUUUAUGGUCUAGGAUGAAUCAAGAUUCACUAGAAGUAAAUAAUUGCGCGAGCCCUUCCCCUCUUUCUGUGCUCCGGGGAACUUGCGUUAGGAAUGCCCAAUCACGGUAGUACGGUGACGCGCGACCGGCGCGGCAUAGAUCUGCGCCACGCAGUAGCUAAGGAUAUUAUGCUCAGUAUUUUAUCAAUUUAAACGGCGGGAUUGUGGGGUUAUCGCUUACAGCUCACCCUUUCUGCAUUAGCGUUCGUUCCGAGCUAGCAGUUUUUUUGUAAUUUGAAACAGCACAAUAACAAAGAAGAAAGAGAAAAAAAUAAACGGGCUAUAAAUAAUUGAUUAAUUAUUAACGCAACAAGUAAUUUUGUCUUAUCUACUACG
This is a long non-coding RNA of Trachymyrmex septentrionalis, 1655 nucleotides long. RefSeq lists it as uncharacterized. The transcript is spliced from 6 exons. The record is from RefSeq and is a predicted model, not a curated record. NCBI's taxonomy places the organism in Eukaryota, Metazoa, Arthropoda, Insecta, Hymenoptera, Formicidae.